GCUCCGGUUGCCUAGUAGUUAGAGCAUCCGCCUCGCAUGCGGGAGGUCGUGGGUUCGAUCCCCGGUCGAGUCA
Molecule: non-coding RNA, 73 nt
Organism: Potamilus streckersoni
Lineage: Eukaryota; Metazoa; Mollusca; Bivalvia; Unionida; Unionidae
Source: the annotation of a GenBank genome assembly